GGCUGAUCCAAAGGUAGUGAGUUGAUUGUUUACAGUUAGCUACAGAUCAUACUGUUUGUUCUAUUCUUUCGCUGCUGCAUUUGACUAGUCCAAA
Pongo abelii (Sumatran orangutan) is the source of this 94-nucleotide Y RNA. It matches the Rfam family "Y RNA". From Rfam's summary of the family: Y RNAs are components of the Ro ribonucleoprotein particle (Ro RNP), in association with Ro60 and La proteins. The Y RNAs and Ro60 and La proteins are well conserved, but the function of the Ro RNP is not known. NCBI's taxonomy places the organism in Eukaryota, Metazoa, Chordata, Mammalia, Primates, Hominidae. The record is from Ensembl.